Gossypium raimondii (Peruvian cotton) is the source of this 106-nucleotide small nucleolar RNA. It matches the Rfam family "Plant small nucleolar RNA R71". Rfam says of the family: R71 is a member of the C/D box family of snoRNAs containing the C (UGAUGA) and D (CUGA) box motifs. Multiple nearly identical copies of this snoRNA have been identified in Arabidopsis, and it is thought to function as a 2'-O-ribose methylation guide for 18S ribosomal RNA. The record is from Rfam. NCBI's taxonomy places the organism in Eukaryota, Viridiplantae, Streptophyta, Magnoliopsida, Malvales, Malvaceae.
AAUCCAUGAUGUGGGCACUUCCUUAGCAUCAUCUUGAAACAUUCCCAGACCUCGUAUAGGGAUUAAACUUUGUAUUGUGUAAAAUUGGAGAUUGCUCACCUAAGCU